AACGCUGGCGGCGUGCCUAACACAUGCAAGUCGAACGAGAAGUACGUAGCAAUACGUAUUGUAAAGUGGCGCACGGGUGAGUAACACGUGGGUAAUCUGCCCUUGAGUUUGGGAUAACCCCGCGAAAGCGGGGCUAAUACCGAGUAAGACCACGGGGACCAAAGUCUCUGAGGUAAAAGAUGGCCUCUAUUUAUAAGCUAUCACUUGAGGAUGAGCCCGCGGCCCAUUAGCUAGUUGGCAGGGUAAUGGCCUACCAAGGCAAUGAUGGGUAGCUGGUCUGAGAGGACGAUCAGCCACACUGGAACUGAGACACGGUCCAGACUCCUACGGGAGGCAGCAGUGGGGAAUAUUGCGCAAUGGGCGAAAGCCUGACGCAGCAACGCCGCGUGGGGGAUGAAGGUUCUCGGAUUGUAAACCCCUUUCGACCGGAACGAAUCCCCUCCUGGUAAAUAAUCAGGAGGAUCGACGGUACCGGGAGAAGAAGCCACGGCUAACUCUGUGCCAGCAGCCGCGGUAAGACAGAGGUGGCUAGCGUUGUUCGGAUUUAUUGGGCGUAAAGCGCACGCAGGCGGUUUGGUAAGUCAGAGGUGAAAGUCCACAGCUUAACUGUGGCACUGCCUUUGAUACUGCCUUUCUUGAGUAGAGUAGGG
RNAcentral lists this ribosomal RNA (650 nucleotides) under uncultured bacterium. RNAcentral's name for it is "bacterial SSU rRNA". It matches the Rfam family "Bacterial small subunit ribosomal RNA", at positions 32 to 656 of the family's 1533-position model. The record is from RNAcentral.